AUUGAACGCUGGCGGCAUGCUUUACACAUGCAAGUCGAACGGCAGCGGGGGCUUCGGCCUGCCGGCGAGUGGCGAACGGGUGAGUAAUGCAUCGGAACGUGCCCAUGUCGUGGGGGAUAACGUAGCGAAAGCUACGCUAAUACCGCAUACGUCCUGAGGGAGAAAGCGGGGGGAUCUUCGGACCUCGCGCGAUUGGAGCGGCCGAUGUCGGAUUAGCUAGUUGGUGGGGUAAAGGCCCACCAAGGCGACGAUCCGUAGCGGGUCUGAGAGGAUGAUCCGCCACACUGGGACUGAGACACGGCCCAGACUCCUACGGGAGGCAGCAGUGGGGAAUUUUGGACAAUGGGCGCAAGCCUGAUCCAGCCAUGCCGCGUGAGUGAAGAAGGCCUUCGGGUUGUUAAAGGCUCUUUCGGCCGGGAACGGAAAGUACGUGUUCGUCUACAUAGGACAUGGAUGACGGUACCGGACGUAAGAAGCACCGGCUAACUACGUGCCAGCAGCCGCGGUAA
This 509-nucleotide ribosomal RNA is filed under the name uncultured bacterium. RNAcentral's name for it is "bacterial SSU rRNA". It matches the Rfam family "Bacterial small subunit ribosomal RNA", at positions 28 to 523 of the family's 1533-position model. The record is from RNAcentral.